UUGCAUUAGGUAUUAGAAAUAAUCCAGAGAAGAUUUAAAGUACACGGAGGAUGUGCGUAGGCGAUAUGCAAAUAUUACGCCAUUUUAUAUCAGGGACUUGAGCAUUCCGGAUUUGGUAUCAGCACAGGUCCUGGAACCAAUUCCCCAAGGAUGUGGAAGGAGGACUGUGUCAUUCAGGAAAAAGUACAAUCCUCUGCGGUGCUGCCCCCAGCUCCCCGCCUUCACCACUGCGCCUGCGCCUCCGAGAACGGACUACAACUCCCAGGAUGCACCGCGCCCGCCACCGCCCUGGCAGCCCGACUUCCUGCUGGGCGUUUCCUGUGGCUUGGGGCUCCGCCCAGUAUGGGGAAAGUUUAAGGCGGAAGGGCCCUCGUUUGUCGGCUGCUUGGGAAGGUAUUGGGAACAGCUUAUGUUUUUCUUUCACAAAAAAGCAGCAGGCACCACAGAGAGAGACGGCUGUCUAGUUUUCUGUUGGGCACAGACCUUGCUUCUCUGAACCGGGAGAGAGGUGUUUGCCCCUCACUGCGGGGGCCCAGCACAGGUGGUUCCUGCUGGCUCUUGUCCUUGGUCACAUCGUCCUUGGAGUUGUAGGAAUCCCUCCCAGACUGUGGGAUAGGCUGACAAUCUUGGAUAUUAUUGUAGUGGUGAAUGUUUUCUCUUUAAGGGAUUUCAGUGGGAAAUUUAGAGGAACGUAGAGGAGGCUGUUGGGUAUUUUACCCUGCGUGCUUCCUUUAGAGAUUGUUCUGAGCUGUGUACUUUGUAAUCCUUGGGCCCGGGAUUCUUAUCAUGUUCUUUUCACUGGUUUUUGUUAAUGUGUUUGUUCUGAAGACAGUAUCCUGGGGGAAUGAGACAUCUCCUUAAGGCGCCGCUUGACUGACAGACACCCUUAAUGUAUGUAAUUCAUGGAAAACUACAGUCCCCACCUCACCCCCCUAAAAAAGCAAAACAUCUGAGUUAGGGGUGUGUCCGAUUGAAAUGGUUGAAGAGUGAAUGGUGGCUGGAAGGUGAGCAGUUAGAAGUGAUUGCAAAUUCCUUUCCAGUAUAUUGUCAAGAAGGAUAGGAUGGUGGCCUGACACCCAGCUCUGCUAUUUAUUCUGUUAUCUCUUACAGGUUAGUUUCCCUCUUUGAGUCUUAGUUUCUUGUCUGUAAAAUAAGGGUGAUAUUACCGGUCCUCCCUGCUUGUCAGUUUCUGUGAAGGCAGUUCAAAAUAAAGUAUGUCAACAUAGUUCCUAAACCCCACAGUCUCCCAAAAGUGAGUGAGUUGGUAAUCAGUAGAGUGUCCAGUGUAAUACAGGGCCAGGGCCGCUAGAAAUGCCGUUCAAAGCAGACCGCAUCUACAAAAUACCUUCACAGUAACAGCUAGAUUAGUGUUUGAUUAAAUAAUUGAAUUAAAUAAUAAUAAUUAAUAAUAGCCUAGCCAAGUUGACACAUAAAACUAACCCUCAUACCCCAGAAAGUCUUUGCUCAAAUAUUAUGUUUUCCUAACAUUUAAAAUUGCAGUCCUACACACGUGUACAUCUUCCCUAAUAUUCUCUCUCCCCGUUCCCCUAGCCUGUUUUCCUUUAGCAUUUAUUAUCUUUGAGCCAUCCCUGUAUUUCUUAUCUCUAUGUUUAUUGUCUUUUUGCCUUCUCUGGAAUGUUAGCUCCACGUGGGCGGGGCAUUUUUGUCAAUGUUGUGAACCGAUGAAUCCUCAGCACCCAGCACAGCAUCUAGCACACAGUGGGUCAGCACCCAGCACAGCAUCUAGCACACAGUGGGCUCCUAAGAAACCUUUGCAAAUCACCGAAUGAAGCAUUAAUGUGAGCACUCAGUAAAUAUUUUUUCAAAUGAAUUUAGAGCUGGAGUUCAUCAUGAGAUAUUCCUGAACAGCCUCAGUAGGAGAGAAGUAGGAAAAGGGUAGAAGGAUGGCAGAUUAUAGGAAAAAAGAGAAAAUUUUCAGAGUUUGACAUCUAAGAAGUCGAAGAUUUAGUGAAGAAGGAGCACAGACUUGGGUGUUAAGUUCCCUUUACCCCUUAGCUGUGUAACUUUGGACAGGUUGUCUAAUCUCCUUGAACCUCAGUUUCUUCGUCUGUAAACUGGAAAUAGUAAUACUUAUCAUGUAGGGUUGUACCAGGGGUGACAAGUUGAUGCGUUUAAUGGGCUUAGCAUAGGGCCUGGCCCACAGUGAGUGUUUAUUAAGAGGUGGCUGUUGCCAUCACCAUCAUCAUCAUCAUUAUUCAGUAUCAAAGUGGGGAAAUUUAUAAGAAAUCAUUGAAGUGUACUAAAAGUAAAAUUUUGAGGAUUUCAGUCUAGCCUGUGAAGUUGGGAUGUUAAAAUCUGAAACAAUGUUAAUACACAAGUUUGGUUUGUACAGAGUGUCAGGGCAUAGUCACUUUUGUGCCAGGUCCUUUUAUUUUGUUUCAAAACAGAAUGAAAAUCUUUUCAGCAUAUAUAGCCCAUAAAACACAGUAAUUGACAUCAAAUCCUUCAGUUUGCCCCAAGCUGCCACUUAAAGUGCAGAGUUAGUUGGUUCCAGGUCAGAGGUGCCAUUCAUUUAUUUUCAACUGAUACAUGAGACAAAAAGUGCAGUCUUCACUGCUGAUGUUCUGCUCACCAGGAUUCUUUUGUUAUCUCCUGAGGUUGUUGCUUUGGACAACAAGAGAGAUGUUAGGUUCCAGCAAAGCUCCACAAAGACACUGACUCAACUCCACCAGAAGUAUAACCUGUCACCAUAAGUAAAACUGAAAGGAUACACCUUAUCACCAUACUAUAUAUAUAUAUACUGUAUACUAUAGUAUAUACCUUAUCACCAUAAGUAUAGCUGAAAGGUUUCCUGAAAGAUCCAAAGAAAUAUACACUCACAGAACCCUCGAUAUGUCGCGUUGCUUGCAUAUCAAUAUCAUUUCUGGUGUUCUAACAGAACUUUUAGGAUUGGUCCCCUCUGAUAAAUGGUAAUUUUCCUGAUAUGUGGGUUGUGUGUUUAUUUGAAAAAUGCUAAUUCUGGAAAAGUGUGAACCUGGUCAUUCUCCAUGGCAUUAUGCCCAGUUUUAACUUCUUGAGAGGAGACAUUUGUAGUUAGGAAGAAAAGUAGAUUUAAUGUAGAGGAAAGAUGAAGGCCGGAUGUUUGAGGUUUUUCUUCUGGUCUUUCUGUUUCCUGUAGUAUCUGAAUAUAGCUAGUUACAAUAUUUCAUGUUUAUUUAAGAAGUGGGCAGAUUGUGAAAAAAUAGCUGCAGUGUUCUGAGUUAUGAUCUUGUUUCUUGGUUUCUGUUUUGCUCUGUUGUUAUGAGAAAUAAAUGGGAGGGAGAGCCAUAGUUUAAGAAUGAUAGAUUCUUCCAGCAGUUCUUUUUUGACUCAAGGCCAUUUCCUCACAGAGGGCUGUGGAAUGUGUAGUAACAUUCUUCAGAGUGUCAUUCAAUUCAGGAUGGAUGGACUUUGUGGAGAACAGCAGUCACUGUGAACUUACUUCAGGAUUACAAGAUAUUUUCUUACCUAAAUGUUAGAGAUGGAAUCAUGAAAGUACCACUGUUCUGUGCUCUGUUUCCCGAAUGGAAAAAAUACUGAUUUAAAUUGAAUUAGUCCUUGUUCUUCUGUGUAUUUAUUAGGCAUGCUUAUAAUAAAGAAUUAAAACAAUACUUUCCAAUUUAUUAUUUAUUUAUUUAUUUUUUUUUGAGGCAGAGUCUCACUUUGUCACCCAGGCUGGAGUGCAGUGGUGCAAUCAUGGCUCACUUCAGCCUUGACCUCUGGGCUUAAGUAAUCCUUCUGUUUCAGCCUCCCAAGUAGCUGGGACCCACAGGUGUGUGCCACCAUGCCUAGCUAAUUUUUUAUUUUUAUCUUUUGUAGAGGUGGAGUCUUGCUGUGUUGUCCAGGCUAGUCUUGGCCUGGCCUCAAGUGAUCCUCCCACCUUGGCCUCCCAAAGUGCUGGGAGUACAGACAUGGGCCACUGUGCUCAGCCCAAAUUUAUUAUUUUCAAAUUAAAGAUGUACCUAAUUGAUGUCCUGUCCAAAGCAUUAAAAUAUCUUGAUAAAUCCUUUCCUAAUAGGAAUAGCCCAGGAUAAAAUUGGGUAUGACUCUGCCCCUCACUCUUUUUGUUUUGAAGGUAGCAUGUCCGAGUCUACGUUCUUUCUGAUAAUGAAUGCAUCUGGCAGAGAUGGAAGCCUUAUCUUCUGUUGUUAACAUUGUUUCACAGCCUCAGAUCAGUCACUGCACAGCCCCAGGGGGGCCUACACAUCAAAUUGUGAUUUUUUCGAGGAGGAGGCCAUGAUCUGAGGAUUACUGGGACUAACAGGACUUCAGCUGGGGCUUCAUCGUGUGGUGUGGGCUUCCUGACAGCACGGCCACUGGUUUCCAAGAGUUUCAACAAUAUUUUCAUCAUAUUUAUUGAAGCCCUCACUGACAGACUUCUCAAGGCCCCUCUACCUUCUAUUUGCUGCCUGGCCCCAAAGCCAGUGCCGCACAUUUUAGGUUUUUAACUGCAGCAGCACCUAUGAUGUUUCCAAAAUCUGUAUCAUUAAAGUUUGAUCAGAGAAGCAAAACCACCUUGAGCAAAACAAGGAAUUUAUUAAAGAGAUUAGGAUACACAUUGUUAUGAAAGCUGCAACCUGCUGCCCCUGUGUCCAGAAGUGGGCCUGAAGUCAGCAGGGCUGGCAAAUGGAUGUGCAGUGGGAGAGGGUAGGCGUGUGCACCCAUCCUGCAGGGAGGAGAUGGAACUCCUGUGGAUGGACUGAAACUGAUGUCUUCCACGUCAGCCUCUCAGGCCUCCAACACUCCAGCUCUGAUGAUGAAGAUGACCUGCAGAGGAGCUGGUGCCCUUCACCAUGGAAUUGCUCAUAAACCCAAGAUUCAGUGAAGCUGAAGAAACAGUUCCGGUGGGAGCUGGAGGAACUGCAGGCACAGCUGCUGCCCUGUACCAAUACAUUGAGCCAGUGGCUGCCUGGCAUUGUGUGUGAGCCACCACAGCGCCUGGCCCUACACAGACUUUGACUGUAAAUAUGACUGCUGUUUCACUUCUGCCUUCCAAAUUUUGCUCAGAUUUUCUGAGAAACAUAGUUCAGCUUAGGUACAUUGACACAGUACAAAGCCACCGCAGUGGCUGGUUAGGGAGGGAUUAUGAAUGCAGGCUGAGAAUGCACGGGAAGCGUUUGUCUAUUUAUAGAGUAGGUACCAUUCAAGGAUUUAUGUGAAUCAGGUGCAAAGAACUCACACAAAGGUGGGGAAAGUUAGUACUUAGAAAUCAGUGAUACUAGAUAACCAAUAAAUAAAAAUAAACUUA
Molecule: long non-coding RNA, 5248 nt
Organism: Pan troglodytes (chimpanzee)
Lineage: Eukaryota; Metazoa; Chordata; Mammalia; Primates; Hominidae
Exons: 3
Source: RefSeq, a predicted model, not a curated record